Molecule: ribosomal RNA, 534 nt
Filed under: Neosphaeroma laticaudum
Lineage: Eukaryota; Metazoa; Arthropoda; Malacostraca; Isopoda; Sphaeromatidae
Description: partial 16S ribosomal RNA
Rfam family: Bacterial large subunit ribosomal RNA
Source: RNAcentral
UCGCCUGUUUAUCAAAAACAUCGCCAAAAAAUUAUUUUUGGUAAAAUCUGCCCAAUGAUUUAAUUAAAUGGCCGCAGUAUAUUAACUGUGCUAAGGUAGCGUAAUCAUUAGUUUUUUAAUUGAAAACUCGUAUGAAUGAUCCGACGAGAAACUUACUUUUUCAAUAAUACUAAGAAUUUAAAAAUAGAGUUAAAAUUCUCUAAUAAUUUAAGAGGACGACAAGACCCUAUAAAGCUUUAUUUUAACACUUAUAAUCAAUACCUAAGAACCCUUAAAUAUAAGAUUAAAAUUAUACUGGGGCGGUAAAUUUUACCCUAAACAAAAUUUCCUAAAACAAUUUAUAUGAUCUUAACGAACGUGUAUUCAAAAAGAUAAGCUACUUUAGGGAUAACAGAGUAAUCUUUUUUACGAGUCCUUAUCUACAAAAAGGAUUACUACCUCGAUGUUGAAUUGAAGAACCUUUAUAAAGCAGCCAUUAUAAAAGGAAGUCUGUUCGACUUUUUAUUCUUCACAUGAUCUGAGUUCCAAACCGGA